Molecule: transfer RNA, 72 nt
Filed under: Camelus bactrianus (Bactrian camel)
Lineage: Eukaryota; Metazoa; Chordata; Mammalia; Artiodactyla; Camelidae
Also listed under: 2 other names
Rfam family: tRNA
About the family: Transfer RNA (tRNA) molecules are approximately 80 nucleotides in length.
Source: Rfam by way of RNAcentral
GAGAGUAUAGCUCAGUGAUAAAGCACAUGCUUAGUGUGCACAACGUCCUUGGUUUAAUCCCCAGUACUUUCA